AACGAACGCUGGCGGCAGGCCUAAUACAUGCAAGUCGAACGAAGCCUUCGGGCUUAGUGGCGCACGGGUGCGUAACGCGUGGGAACGUACCCCUGGGUGCGGAACAACGUCGGGAAACUGACGCUAAUACCGCAUAAUGACUCCGGUCCAAAGAUUUAUCGCCCAGGGAUCGGCCCGCGUUAGAUUAGCUAGUUGGUGGGGUAAUGGCCUACCAAGGCUACGAUCUAUAGCUGGUCUGAGAGAAUGAUCAGCCACACUGGGACUGAGACACGGCCCAGACUCCUACGGGAGGCAGCAGUAAGGAAUAUUGGACAAUGGAGGAAACUCUGAUCCAGCCAUGCCGCGUGAGUGAUGAAGGCCCUCGGGUUGUAAAGCUCUUUCAGGUGCGACGAUGAUGACGGUAACACCAGAAGAAGCCCCGGCUAACUUCGUGCCAGCAGCCGCGGUAAUACGAAGGGGGCGAGCGUUGUUCGGAAUCACUGGGCCUAAAGCGUGCGUAGGC
RNAcentral lists this ribosomal RNA (502 nucleotides) under uncultured bacterium. RNAcentral's name for it is "bacterial SSU rRNA". It matches the Rfam family "Bacterial small subunit ribosomal RNA", at positions 28 to 576 of the family's 1533-position model. The record is from RNAcentral.